UGGGACCUGCGCCCGUACGCACCAGAGAACCGCAACAUCAAGACCUUUACAGGGCAUCAGCACAACUUUGAGAAGACCCUGUUGAAGUGCAGCUGGUCACCCGACAAUCGCAAGGUCACUGCUGGGAGUGCUGAUCGCAUGGUCUACAUCUGGGACACGACAUCGAGGCGGAUCCUGUACAAGCUUCCUGGGCACAAUGGUUCCGUUAAUGAGACCGCUUUCCAUCCCACCGAGCCCAUCAUCGGAUCCUGCAGCAGCGACAAGCAGAUCUAUCUCGGCGAGCUUUAGGAUGCUGUCACUUCCUCAGAUAGGAAUUCCUGUAAUAUUUGGGUAUGAAAGAGAACUGAAGACCGCAGGUACCGUGUUGCUCUGUCCUAGACAUUGAAUGCUGGAUUGCUGAUCGAAUUUUCAAACUGCUACUUGUUCAGUACCCUUACGGUUCUUGUUAAACGUGUUGCCAUUCUGCCUUUUAAUCACUAACUGGUGUGCUCUCUCUGAAAACCUGAUUCAUUUGCCUCUUCCCUGCUGAAUUACGUUGUCUAACUAGUGUAUCGAGUCAAAUGCUGUUAUGGUCUGUAAACUUAUCUUUUUCUUUUAGACAAGUUUCUAUCGGUGCAAUAUAACCAGAAAAAGGUUAAGUUAGCUGAAAUUCCCUUAAAAGGGCAAACCAUAUAUUCAUAAAUUUGGUUGAUCCUCUAAUAGCCAAUUAUAUUGGCAUGACUAAUAGAUUGUCAAGACUGUGUCUGAACAUAAUUUGUCCAUCUGUUGGACUGUUAUGAUCCGUCAGCUUCUAUUUCAUGAUCUGCCGUUUCAAUCUAUAUUCACGUGGCUCUGUUCAGAAGAGUAUGACUGCCAUGCAUUGUUCUUUUUAUUCAACCAUGGUCAUGGCCACGUGACAGCCAAUUUUUAGGUAACGCCUGUUAUUGAUGAAAAUAAUGGGUUGUAGACAGUGGUUUCGUUUCUUUCCUGUGUACAACUCAUAAUUAAUAGCAAGAUAAAGAUACUCGUGAAAAUUAUCUUUAAUUAACAAAUUGCUGAUUAUUUAAGUGUGUUUAUUUGGCUGAUGGUGGGGGUGAAAUUGUGUAUAUGUGAAAUUACAUAUUGACUUCUGAAAGAUCUUGAGAUGCCAUGUUUUGGCAAAAUGGAAUCAGUUUCAUGUAUACUUUUAAGACAAUUCUAGCUAGGGAGCGAACAUUCUGACAAAGUAAUCGCCGUUGGAUUUUAUGUUUGUGGUUGUGCGUGUGCUUGAACCUAGUGUAUGCGNNNNNNNNNNNNNNNNNNNNNNNNNNNNNNNNNNNNNNNNNNNNNNNNNNNNNNNNNNNNNNNNNNNNNNNNNNNNNNNNNNNNNNNNNNNNNNNNNNNNNNNNNNNNNNNNNNNNNNNNNNNNNNNNNNNNNNNNNNNNNNNNNNNNNNNNNNNNNNNNNNNNNNNNNNNNNNNNNNNNNNNNNNNNNNNNNNNNNNNNNNNNNNNNNNNNNNNNNNNNNNNNNNNNNNNNNNNNNNNNNNNNNNNNNNNNNNNNNNNNNNNNNNNNNNNNNNNNNNNNNNNNNNNNNNNNNNNNNNNNNNNNNNNNNNNNNNNNNNNNNNNNNNNNNNNNNNNNNNNNNNNNNNNNNNNNNNNNNNNNNNNNNNNNNNNNNNNNNNNNNNNNNNNNNNNNNNNNNNNNNNNNNNNNNNNNNNNNNNNNNNNNNNNNNNNNNNNNNNNNNNNNNNNNNNNNNNNNNNNNNNNNNNNNNNNNNNNNNNNNNNNNNNNNNNNNNNNNNNNNNNNNNNNNNNNNNNNNNNNNNNNNNNNNNNNNNNNNNNNNNNNNNNNNNNNNNNNNNNNNNNNNNNNNNNNNNNNNNNNUCAUUUAGUUAAGAGGAAUGUAUGUAUACCUCCAGCUAAAUCCCUCAAUGCUUACUAUUUGAAAGGAAAAAUAAAUGUACAUGUCAACCACCUUGUCGAUGAGUUAUUACUGUCUUUAUUUCUUAAUAGCUGUCAUCUGGUGUGCAUGCAUAUAUAUAGAUCUCAUCCACAAUGGUUUAUAGUUAUAUCAACUAGCUGCCCAGAAUAUCUCUCAUCCACCAUGGUUUAUUGUAGUGGCCAGGAGGCGGACCAAAGAUAGUUAUAUAUAUGGGCUAUUUACAUCUCAACUGAGUUAGCCGGUAUGGAUAUAGUAUUCCUCAGUACUCAAGACAAAUUGCCUAAUUGUAUCCUAUUUAAAGUGGCACACCAUCACAAAAUAUAUUAGACAUGGGAAGCAUUAGGAAUCUAUAAGCCUGCGGCUGUGCUGCCAUGCUCAGCGAGAACAGUGGUAAUUUGGGCCUGACUAGAUUGAUGAAGAAUCACGGCUUAUUGAUGUGAGGGGAAGCACAUGGCUUGUGUUCCAAGACAACACCCUAAUCAGAUAGGUCAGAAGGAUGCGUGUGACUGGUGCGUUCAGCUUCUCCAUAGUGGGGAGUAACUUAGACUAAUAACAUGCAUAUGUUACUAGUCUAUGUUACUACUACCUCCGUCCGAGUUUAUUAGACCCGUGAGCGGAGGGAGCACGUCCGUUUUUAAAGGGCCCGUUCAUCGAUUACUCGGCCAAAAGCUAAAUGGUACCAGCGACUUAAAUGGGAAGCGGCAAGACCAGCCAAUGCAUGCAGCUCCUUCUCUUCCCAUUAUCCAUGCAUGGGCCCAUACAGCCUGGAUCACAGCGUGCAUGCGCAUGCGUUCCCAACUCACGAGGAGUACUAAUUACUAAGGGCAGUUGAUUAUUGGCUGCCGCAUGCCUCGAAAAUCUCUGGCAGUUAAAGAGUUAAUUUCGUCUUGGUCUCUGCGUUUUGGCUCAGAGGCCUUUUAAACCCGGACGAAGGUAGUAUCUCUAUAGUGGGUAGUAACAUAUGUGUAGUGUCAUGCAUCACCUCAUUUAUUAUUUUGUAGAUUCAUUUUGCAUUGGGAACCGCUAUAUGAUGGUAACAUAUUAUGUUACUCUAUUUGCCUUUCUCUUCAUUAAUUACCUGACACAUCAUCUUUUUUGCUUAUGUGGCAUGUAUGUUACUACCUAUGUUACUCCCACUAUGACCAGCCUUCCAUUGACAUUUAGCUUAGGUUGCCACGCUCUCCCCUAUGCUGGCUGUCUUGGCCCCCCUUUUGCUUUUUGUUUGUAUGUCGCUGUUGUAAAUCUACACCAAAUUCAGGUGGGGAAUCUCUUCAUGGUGACCAUUAAAUUAUUUUUGCUACACAAGUUGUUAGUCAAGUUUUGAUCUCCAAUGCAUUGACCGGUUACUUUUCACAUGCAAACCAAGCAUAUGCUACAAUUACGAUCUGUAGUCACCUAAGCAGUUAUGCGGCUUAUGACGUUCAAUUCUUAAAAGACGAUAUCUGAUUUUUCAUAGCAUGAGCCUAGUGAGUAGUUUCAAAUAGUUCUCUUGCCCAACUUGUAUCAAAGCACCCAGUUCUGCAACUGAUCCAAGUUACCUUGUGAACUGAGAGCAUAGUAGCACCACCCUAGCACACAAACCACAUUAUCCAUCCUUUUAUUAUGAGCACCCUUUCUGGAUUAUUUUAUGGUCAAGGCCUAGCAUCUUCGAACUGGUUCUUUUUCCCUACCUUCCGGUUUCAUUCGUUAAAUUUGUGACCAUUCCAUGGCUUCAGUGUUAAUUACUAAUUGUGUGGAAUCUUUCAAAAAACUUCUUAACUUGCUGCUUCUUUGUUGAAUCAGUUUAGCAAAGUAUCGAUUCAACUGGUGGCACGAGUUGUCAGCUUCCUCUUAUGUUCGUUAGACCCUUUUUUUCCUUCGAAGAACUUGUUUGCGAAAGUUAUUGGGGUUUCAAUUUUGUCUCGUGGUGCUAAGCCAAGGAUGCCUAAUUUUAGUUGCCUCUGUUAGUCUCAAGCAGUCCAGUACAUUGCUGAACUCAUCUGACGAUGUCACUGCAUUUGACCAAACCUUGAAGAUUUCUAAUAAAGUGUUCCUUAUGAUGUUCUUCUCGUGCUGAUUCCCGCAACCGUAGUAGAACGCCAAAAAAUCUACCAGUGUGGAGCGACGCCAUGGCACCGCAAGCCCCUCAAUGGAGCGUGAUACGCCACUAGCGCCGGCCACGGGACAAUGAAAAUGUGCUAAUACCUUGACGGUACAUCGAACAAUCCAAGAAGCAGCAAUGGAGCUACACACGUGCAGUUCUCAUGGAACUGAAAAACCAUAUAAUCUACUAAGAACAUGCAUAUCCAAGCGCGUAUAAUUAGGCAAAAAUGAACAAAUUAUCAAUAUCUUCCCUUUUAUACCUCUUAGUUUAUUUAGCCACAUCUUAUAUAUUUAGCGGUUGUGUCAAGGAUUUUGAUCUUUGGCGUGGAGAUGCACCUCUCGCCCUAUAGUGCUCAAGCAUAUAUAAUCCCUUUGUACCUUCACCACCGCUGCUCACAUCAGAGUUUGUCUUCAUUUGGGCUGCCAUGCAAGACAUUCACCAUGACCCUUCGGCUUCAAAUUCCAUAUCCUAGACAGUCUCCACUAGCGAAACUUAUUAUGCUGAGUCAGCAAUACAAGUUGCAAUUUCACGGUGCAACUUCUCCCUUUAUGGCUCAAAAAUUAUGGGAGGCUCCGGUUGAGCCUAAAUGCAACGAAAGGCUCUCACUGUUGACCGUCGUGCUAUCCGCAUGUGGCCUCAUGAGGGGGUUUGCAUGUGCCUUACUGAACAUGAGACUACGAGCAUCUAGCAUGGGGUUGUUUCUUUCUUCGUGGUGUUUGGGGCAUUGUUGUGGGAUGGUGCUCACUUGUUACCAAACUGGCUCCUGAAUUUUCACCUCUUGAAGAUGGGUGGAACAUGCAUAUUUCUCACAUGGAGGUGACAAGAGAAAGGUUUUUAGCAAGGUCCUCAUCUAUGUUCUUCGGAAUUUUGGAAGGAGCGGAACCAUCUUUGUCCAUGCUUGAGGUUGCUUACUUGGUUAAGGAGGAUCUUGAUCAAAUGAGGUUGGCCAUGGCCGCUCCCGUAUAGCCCAUUUCAUUGUUUUGGCUUUUGCCUUUUCUUGUACAUAUUCUAUAACACUUCUAUUUUCCCCUCUCUUAGUGCACUAGUGCAGAACCGGGAUUUAGCACCGGUUCGUAAGGGCCUUUAGUGCCGGUUCUAUAACCAGCAGUAAAGGGUGGGGACUAAAGGUCCCCCCCCUUAGUACCGGUUCGGCACGAACCGCCACUAAAGUGCCACCACGUGGCAUGAGCCAGGGCCGGGUGUGAGGAGACCUUUAGUAGCGGUUGGUAACACCAACCGGUACUAAAUGUUUCGGGGGUUUUGGUUUUAUUUCUUCAUUUUUCCUUUAGUUUUGUGUUUUCAAUUUAAUUUAGAAAUUGUUUUUUACAUUAUAAUGAGUUGUUAAAUCAUUAGGUGAAAGUACCGCAGAUUAGUUUCAACUGGAUGCAUGCAUGGAUCCUAGCUAAGUGAUCAAAGUAUAUAUGCCAUCCAGUUGAAACUAAUCCGCGGUUUCUUUCAUAAAUGAUAUAAUAACUCAUCAUCAUCAUAUUAAUAUAAAAACUAUUGCAUCAUAUAUCAUCACCAACAAGUUAACGGUAUACUAGCUAGCUAAAAAUCAUUAUAGUCGUCAUUACCACUAUUUAAUCAUCAUAGUCAUUACCGCUAUCUAAUCACCACCAAUACUAGCUUAAAGAAGAAAUAUUCACUUGUACCAGAAGGAAAGAUAUCAUCGAGUUCAACAUGGUCAUGAUUAUAAGCGUUCAUAUAUAUAAGACAACAAAAGCAAAUCACUCUUUGAGAUUAAGUUCAGGACGAAGAACACGGACAUGAGAGGACAAGUACUAAGAGCAUGCUAAUCACUCCUGCUGCUCUCUCUCAGGUAAAAUAGCAUAGAACAUGUAUAGCUCUCCUGAUUCAUCAUAUUGGAGCAUGCAGAUGAACCUGUCUCCUAAUUGUGGGAUGCGCUUUUGAUUGCUGCCCCCUAGUACUUUUCUGUGAUCGUGGACAAUUUUGCUCCAGUCUUUCACUAUUAAGCAUUCCUCGCUAUUAGAAAGCCUGAAUGCACUAAAGUGCAUUGUAGGAUGUCUUGGUCGUAAGCUAACCAUUCUCAUGCGACCUUUAGUCUCGAUCCACUGAGGCACAACAUUCACCGGGAGUCCCUGUUGAAGAACAUCGUAUAGUAACAUACUUAGCAAUGAAGUUUAGUGUAAAAAAUAGUAUAUGCAAAAGAUGCACUGAAGAAAAAUAGUAAAAAAUCUUACCAUCUUUUCUAAAUAGAUGUGACUGUAGUUCAAUACGAUCACUAUUGGUCGCACAUUUUGAGCACUAAGAUUUUCAAAUUCAGGAAAAUAAUUUCUCUUGACAACAUCAAAAUCCUCAAGCCAUGAAACAUAAUGACUUAUCUCCUCGCAGUUUAGUUCAGCCCCGGGACAAUGGACUAUCCUGUCUACCAAGUGCUGGACAUGUUUGUUUGAAUGGAAAUAAGCUAUCAAUAGAAAUUAGUUGUCAACUAAUUUUGGAAAAAAAUAUCAAAGACAUAAAUAUGGUUGAGAAACUCACAUAAUGGUAGAACUGGAGGCGUCUGCACAUUGACCCAAAUGUCUCUAUUACCUCUAAUAUCAUCUCCAGGACGAAUAUCAAAGGUGAUAAACAUAUCAGGCUCAAAUGCAUAAGACUUGCAUAGUGCUUGCCAAGUUUUGCAUUCAAAAUGGGUGUAGGUGUCUUGAUUGUAUAAUUUGACAUUGAAGGUAUAACCAUGCUCGGUCUUCAAGUAAACUCUCUUUACCUCCAUAAUUUUGUUAGGACUGAAACCUAUCUUAUCCAAGAAAAAAAUUCUUGCAUGGCAGAGGAUACGCUAGUAGAAUAGUGAAAAUUUAAAAUAAUAAGUUGAAGCAAAUGAAGCAUAAGUCAUGCUUAAUUACAAAAAAGAUUUGUCGUUGUGACUUACUAUAUCCACUUUGAAUGUCUCAUUCAGCUUGAUGCUGAAGUGCCUAUCAUCAACUAGGAAAUUUUUGUCGCACAGGCCGCGUUGAUCUUCGCAGUUUUCGCACAUAAUGAAAUCAUUUUCGUCGUCAGACGACAUUUUCUAUGUUCAUAGGUGAAACAUUAAACACAUAAUAGUUAUAUUAAUUCAACUAAUUAAACUAGUUCUAUUAAUUCAACUAGCUAGUUCAACUAAUUAAUUUAACUAAGCACUUACUAAAAAUAUAUCUAAAUAAAGUAGCUCAACUAAUUCAACUAAUUCAAUUAACUAGUUCAACUAAUUCAACUAAUUCAACUAAACUAGUUCUAUUAAUUUUCUUACUAAAAAUAAAGUAGCUAGUUCUAUAUAUUAAAAUUUUAAUUAGAUGACCAAAUCUCAGAUACCUAAAUUUAAUAUAUAUAUAAUUCAUCUAACAUUAAUAUAAAUUCAUCUAUAACUAAAAGUAUAAAAAACCAAUUCAUCUAACAUUAUCUAAUUCAUAUAUAAUCUAACAUUUAUAUAAUCUAACAUUUGACAUUAAACAUUUGUGUGUGUGUGUGUGUGUNNNNNNNNNNNNNNNNNNNNNNNNNNNNNNNNNNNNNNNNNNNNNNNNNNNNNNNNNNNNNNNNNNNNNNNNNNNNNNNNNNNNNNNNNNNNNNNNNNNNNNNNNNNNNNNNNNNNNNNNNNNNNNNNNNNNNNNNNNNNNNNNNNNNNNNNNNNNNNNNNNNNNNNNNNNNNNNNNNNNNNNNNNNNNNNNNNNNNNNNNNNNNNNNNNNNNNNNNNNNNNNNNNNNNNNNNNNNNNNNNNNNNNNNNNNNNNNNNNNNNNNNNNNNNNNNNNNNNNNNNNNNNNNNNNNNNNNNNNNNNNNNNNNNNNNNNNNNNNNNNNNNNNNNNNNNNNNNNNNNNNNNNNNNNNNNNNNNNNNNNNNNNNNNNNNNNNNNNNNNNNNNNNNNNNNNNNNNNNNNNNNNNNNNNNNNNNNNNNNNNNNNNNNNNNNNGCCGACGGGACGCGCGCGACGGGGGCGGCGAUGGGGCAGCGACGGUGCCGGGGGACGGCAAUGGGGGCGGUGCACAGACGGGGGCGGCGACAACGGCGACGGGGGCGGUGAGGGGGGCGGCGCGGGGACGGGCUAGACGAACAGAUGAACUGAUGAUAACUGAAAUUUUCGGAAGUGUUGCUUAUAUAGGGAGGCCUUUAGUACCGGUUGGAGCCAGGAACUGGUACUAAAGGUCAAAUUUGGCCAGGCCAAGCGGCGGGAAGUGACCCCUUUAGUACCGGUUCGUGGCACCAACCGGUACUAAAGAACCGCCCUUUAGUACCGGUUGGAGCCAAGAACCGGUACUAAAGGGGGUGCGCUCCUGAAAGUGCGUUAUAUCGACGAGGGGGGGGGGUGAAUAGGCGAUUUUUAUGAAUUCUUCGAUGAGGAAUUUGCUGGUGAGGAAAUUCCUCAAUAAAGAAAUACUUGCAGAGGAAUAAGUACUCAAAAGUAAACAUAGCAGAAUACACACAUAGUCAUCAUGAUGAAAUGAAGACCAGCACAGAGUACAGAAAGCGUAAGCACAUGAUAACACAAGAUGAAGACUAACAGACUGAAGAAAUUAAACUGAGGAAAUUGAGAAAGUCUUCAGACAAAGUCUUCAAAUAGAUAUGAACAAGCACACAACAACAGUAAUGAGGAAAUGGAAGAGUUGAGGAAAUAGAAACAGUAAGCUUGGUGAAGACAAUGAUUUGGUAGACCAGUUCCAACUGCUGUCUCAAUUGUACAUCUGGUUGGAGUGGCUGAGUAUUUAAACUCGAGGACACACAGUCCUGAACUCACAGUCCUCACCGUAUUCUCCUUGAGCUAAAGUCACACAAACCUCACUCAAUCACUCGUGGUAAGUCUUCAGGUGACUUCCGGACCUUCACAAACUUGGUCACUCGGCGAUCCACAAUUCCUCUUGGAUGCUCUAGAUCUUGAUGCCUAACCGUCUGGAAGAAGCACAAUCUUCAAAGGUAACAAGCGUCGGAUCCACGCAGGAUCAAUCUCUUCAGUGAUGCUCAAUCACUUUAGAGUUUUGAAGGUUUGGGUUUGGGUUUUUCUGACUUGAUGAUUUUCGCUCAAAGUCCUCAGAGGAUGGGAUGCUCUCAAAUGACAAGUGUCAGUUUCUCUCGGAGCAGCCAGCCAACUAGUGGUUGUAGGGGGGCGACUAUUUAUAGCCUAGGGAGCAGCUCAACAUGAUAAGACAUAAAUGACCUUGUCUGAUAUGACCAUUAGGUGGGUAGAUAUUUUAGGACAACUGGCGCGUAGCACAGCAACGGUCGGAAUUUUGAGUCUUAAAUUCCUCAGGGCUAUCAUGUUCCUCACUGUGUAGGCAAUCCGCACUGGCGAAUUCCUAACUCCUCAGUCAGGACAAAUUCCUCAGAGACUAGAAGAACUUCGUCUCUGUCACUGAAGAAUAUGACUGAACUGUAUGAGAUUUCUAGUGGCUUCACUCGAAGGGAUUGGUAGGUGUAGGAUUUUGAGUUGAGCAUCACAUGGAAAUUUUUCCUUAGUAUUUCCUCGACCCCUUUAACAUUACGGUGUUUCCUAUGACUCAAGAAAGAGAAAAUGAAACUAUAAAAACAAAAGUCUUCACGCUUCAUGUUCCUCGAAUGAUUGCCAAGUCUUCAAGGUCACACCAAUUUCUUCACUUUCAAAGUCUUCAGAAAGUCUUCAAAAAUCCAAAGUCUUCAGUUGAAGAACUUCAUUUUUAGGGGUCGACUUUCUCUAUAAAUAUCAAACUCCUCAUAGACUUAUAGACCUGUGUACACUCGCAAACGCAUCAGUCCCUUAACCUAUAAGUCUUCAAUACACCAAAAUCACUAAGGGGCACUAGAUGCACUUACAAUCUCCCCCUUUUUGGUGAUUGAUGACAAUAUAGGUUAAGUUUUCAACGGGGAUAAAUAUAUGAAGUGUAAGUAUUGAUGUUGAGGAAUUUGAUUGCAAGAUAUAGAAGAACUCCCCCUGAAGAUGUGCAUAGUGAGGAAUUUGCUUUUAAAGCAUUGCACACUUGACGAGUAUAAUCAUGGAGAUCUCCCCCUAUAUCUUGUAAUUCAUACACGCAUUUGACAUAUAAUAUGAAGAAUUUGAAAUGCAUGAUGAAAUAUGGUGACUGAUGUAAUUCAGCAUGCGUGCAUUGACAUUAAUGAGGAAUAAGCAUGCAAAAGAACACAUCAAAAGUAUCAGGCCACCAUAGAGUUUAAGAUUACAACUCGAUCCAGCAAAGUUAUCAAAAAAAAGAGAGUUGUAACUUAGAAAAAAACGCCCAUAUAAGAUAGACCCGCUUGAAGACUAACUCAAAUUUCUCCCCCUUUGUCAUCGAAUGACCAAAAGGGUCGAAAAUGUGGACUAACGCCCCUGAAGAAUAUCAUGAUGAUGGAGGAGCGCCUGCGUUGUCAGGGUCUUGAGUCGAUGUAGGGCAUGCUGUAGUGUCGUCCAAGUCUUCAUACUCGUCUGUGGCGUGUGAUGAAGAAUAUGAACUGGCGACCAAGGGAGGAACCUUGACCUUCUUGAGUUUCUUCGGUGGAGGAGCAGACGAGUCAAAAUCUUCUUUGAAGCCCAUGUUCUUCAAAUCUUCUUCACCAUAGAGAUGAUGUAGAAUAGCCCAGGUGCGAUCGAAGACUUCAUGGAGAUAGUAAUGGUUUUUCUUCACAGCAUUAUGAGUAGAGGUCAUGUUGUGAAGAAUAGAACCAAACUGUCGCUUAACCCAUUUGUGGUUUCGAUCCACCUUCUGGUGAAAACUUAGAAGCAGCUCACGGUCAGUCAUCACACGAGGAGCAGUAGCUUGAGGACUUGACUUGGGAGCAUUGGCAACAAAAUCAUGAGUGGCAGAGUCAUCAUUGGUGGAAUAAGAUGCAGCUUUGCGGAAUUGACCAUCCAAUGGACGAAUGCCUUCAUCCAUAAUGGCUGGUGACUUGCCCUUCUCAUCAGCUAAGGAAUAUGUAUGCUUGAGGACUUCAAUCGGGGGCAAUUAGCUGAGGUGAUUCUAAAAGUCAGCCUUGUAAUUAAGUGAAGACCUUGUUCUGAGGAAUCUCAUGAUCCACGGUGCGUAAGGCUUCAGCUCAAAUGGUGAAAGUGCAACAUUCGCCAGAGUCCUCAUGAAGAAAUCAUGAUAAUUUAUGGGUAUGCCAUGCAUUAUGUUGAAUAGCAUAUUCUUCAUCAUCCCAAUAAUUUCCUCAUCGGAUGAGUCAUGGCCUUUGAUAGGACUCAUGGUCUUCGUCAGAAUGCGAUAGAUGGUUCUUGGCACAUAGAGCAAUUCCUUCAUGAGGAAUUUUGUCCUAGGAGCUUGACCAGGCUUCAGAGGCUUCAUAAGCACUUGCAUAUAGUCAGCAGGGAGUUCAGGCUCAUCAUACAGAUAACGAGCACCUUCAGGUGGAGGACUAAUUGGCAGGGCACGAAGCAAUUCAGAGGCUGGUGCCUUGUAGUGAGUGUUUUCGGUCAUCCAGUCCAACACCCAAGAGUUGAUGUCAUCAACAUCACCUGUGAUAUGCAGCGUUCCGUAGAACUGAAGAAUGAGCUCUUCAUUCCAGUCAACUACGUCUGAGCAAAAGUUGAGCAAGCCUGCAUCAUGAAGCAUAAUGAGGACUUGAGAGAAGCAAGGCAUUGAUUCCAUGUCCACGUGAGGAAUAUGCUCGUGGUCGAAGACUUUGUCCUUGUUGUAAAGAAGUGAAGAAUAGAAGUUGGCCUGGCUGGCAGUCCAGAAACGCUUCCUUCUAAGACAAGCAUUGUCAUAUGGGUUGAAUUCAGUGAAGAACACAUGCUCGCCGAAGAAAUCAACAUCCUUGAAUUUUUGCUUCUUUGAGAAGGGAUCCUUUGGCUUGGGCUGAGGAGUAUCAGUCAAUUGCAUCACCACCUUAGGAAUCACAAUCUCAGGUUCCUCACGCUGAGGAAUUUCAGGCUCUUCUUCAGCUGCAGCCUGGGUCAUCAAUUCUUCAUUUACAAUUUCUUCAGCACUAGUGGCUGGAAUUUCUUCAUGGACAAACGGUGUUGCAUGAGGUUCUUCAGAUCCCAUUUGCACUUCAGUAGCAGCAGGAGACUGAGGAAUUGCUUGAAGUGGAGUGAACAUCGGAGAGUUGGGGUGCUGACUUUCCCAAAAGUCAUCAUUCAGCACAGGUGUGGUACAACCAAUGUCCACAUCCUCAUCUUCCAUUUCUUCAACACCUGCCUCUUCAGCAGUGAACCGAGGCAUAAGUGAGGAAACAACUGGGGUUGAAGGGACUUCGUCCACUUCAAUUUCUUCAUCCAACUGCUCUGACGUAGCAGCAGAAGGAUUCUCUUCAUCGGAUUCAUUGGGAAUCACAUAAUCUUCACCAAAAGGAACAAGGUCUUUUGAUGGUAUGAAAGAGACAGGAACGACAUCAAUUGGGUUGUCAUUUGAGCUAGUCAGAGGCUUCAUCUUCUUUGGAGCUGAAGAAUUUGAUGAAGUUGAUGCCUUCAUUUUCUUCAUAGCUGCACGCUCUGCAGGCUUGGUCUUCUUCGCAUCUGAUGCAGAUGGAAUGAUCGGAGUGGGUGUAGGCGCAGGAGGUGCAGAGGACUUUGGUUCAGUUUCUUCAGGCGCAACUUAUGCAGUUACCCUGAUUUCUUCAUUUUCUUCAGGUGCACCGCUAGUGGAUGCCCUGGCAAUUUCUUUAAUGGUUGGAAUGCAGUCAUCAGCCCUGGUACUCUCAUUUUCUUCAGCAGCCUGAUUGUCAUCAGCGGUGCUGGCAUGUUCUUCAGUAGGCUGAGCAGAUGCUUCAGGCUGAGGAACUUCAAUGUGGACAGGAACAAUAGCACUUGAAGUGAGUUUCUUCGUCAAAUUGACGAACCAGACCUUGGCACCCUUCCAAUCAGCAUAGUAGCGAUUGAAUCCAUCACUCAGUUGCUUGAUUUUAGUUUGCAACGCAAUGAGUUGGUUAGGUGUUAGAGUGAUGACAUUUUCCUUGAGAUAGCACUGCUUUUUGUACUACGCUUUCUUCAACCUUCUGCAUUCUUCAAAUUUCCAAUUUUCUUCCUCAAUGAAGGCAGUCAGAACAUGACUUUGGCCAGGAGUGAGGUUCAUCUCUGGCAAUGCCGUGUUAGGGUCCUUGUGCCAUAGGUCAAUGAAGUCGAGGAUCAACUUGGGAUCCAAUAGCAGUGGCACAGUGCUGCCUUUGGCUCUUGCGGCCCUGGCUUGCCUGUCUCUGAUGAUUUCGGCAAGUUCUUCAUCAUCAUCCUCAUCGUCAUCAGAGGGAACUUGGAAGGCGACCUGCUUCUUGUGAGGACUUGGUCGAAGGCCUCGUCCAGCAGUGGCCUUUUUCUUCAGUAGAGAGGGACCAGCUGAGGAAUUUGGUGCAGCAGUGGAGCCUGCAGAUGCUCCUGAGGCAUUUGAGAUGCCGGUUGUCCUUUGACACGUGGCGAGAUGCACAGGUGCAGAGGAUUUGGUUGGAGCAGCUGAAGAUUUUGUCGGAGGAGCUGAGGACUUUGAAGGAGGAGGAGCAGUCUGAGGAAUUGGCCGUGGGGGCUUUGAAGAAUCUGGUCUUGAGGCCUCAGCAGUGGUGGCAGCAGCAGCAGAGUCUUCAUUAAAUUUCCUCACUGCUUCCUUUGCUUGUUUGGCCAGUUUGGCCUUGCGCCUUGCCCAUUCAUCAGGAUAAUCCUCACCACACUUGAGGCUGGUGGGAUCUGCCAAUUGGCCAGGUGCCAAUGGAGGUCUUGGACAUGGAGGGUUGAGUGCGAAUUUCUUCAUGUACUUGGGAGUAACAUACCUGUACUCCCUCCAUUCCCGUGCCCAUCUCCUUUCAAUCUUUUGAAUGCGCCCCUUGCGCUGGUUUCAGUCCUCCUCAGGGGGUGUGUAGUACCCAGCAUAAAUGGCCUCAGGGAUUUCAAAAGCAGUAUUGACCUCAGGCCUCUUUCUUCCCUUUUGUGGCUUCUUGUCAGCCAUUUUCUUCAGCUGAGGAAUAUGAACAACUGAAGUUUCUGAAGAGGUGUGCAACUUUUCUUCGAGGAACGCUGCAAAUGAGUUAAGUUGAUGAGAACCUAGAGAUUCAGCAGUGGACAUGAGUACAUGUGAACAGAGUAUAGUUGCGAGGAAUUUGGAGAGGUCAUAUGCGUUCUCAGAAGAUUUUCAAAAAGAAAAGAUUUGAGGAAUUUGACCAGAUGAGUCUUGAAGAAUUUCACUAAGCGUUCUUAAUCUUAGGUUCCAGAGUUGUACAUAUUGAAAAUCCACACAAUUGAGGAAUCUUGAAGAAAAUCAUCGCUUAGAGAAACGAAUCAAGAGCAGAUAACAUGUGAGGUGUUUAUGUGUGUGAAGAGUUGAAGAAUAAACACCUUUGAAGAUUUUCGAGAAAACAUAUGAAUCAAAGAGGGUAGUAAAAGUAAUUUUUAAUUACCCGAGAUGAAGAACACGAUGAACUGAGAAGUGUAGAUGUGAAGUUCGUCAGUUCAGAUCUUCCACGCCCUAAGUCGGCAGAGAAAGACGGUUACAGCGGAGGCGGAGUGAAGAAAUCCGCAACCAGCGCGAGUACAGCGGCGACGAGGUCGGCGCAGUGAAGCUCUUCCUCACCGGCGACAAUGAAGUAGCAGCGGCGCUAGGGUUUGGGAAGCUCGAGUGGGAGUGAGAGCGAGCGGAGUAAAAGUGAAGUGAGGAAGAGGAAGGGGUGUUUAUAGUGGAAGUGAAAAACUGUAUGCCCGAGAAUUUUGGAUGAACGUGCCCCUGGCCCUUCUCAUUCGCUUGACAUGUGUCAACCACGUACUGAGAGGUGGCGAUCGUGUAGGAUCGUGGGUGAAUAGAUAAGUAUUGUCGUGGGAUGCAGAAUGGUUUGAGCGGCAAAGCCGAAAAUUCAGAUCAGAUAUAUUAAAACUUCCGUUUGCAAUUUUUUAGCUGUCAAGGACACAGUGAAGAUUUCGAAUGAGUUUCAAAUAGAAUGCACAUGAAGAAUUUGUGAAUAUACUAGGUUGAGUUUAGCAUAGAGGGGGAAGGGUCCGAUCACAUUCACUUAGCAGAAGAAAUCAACUUGAAGAAUUAGCAAUAAGUGAAUGCUGUAGAGGACAUAAAACUCAUAUAUAUGUAUAUUCAAAUGAAGAACAACACCGGAAAGAGUGAACACAAUGCGAAGUUGAAGAAUUUGAAAAAGUGAGGAAUUUCAAAAACGAAGAAAAACUCAAAUUGAAGAUUUUCAACUUCGGUUGGUGGCGUGACCCAUUGUAUAAGAAAGCUGAUUUCAGACACCGCGUACAAUUGUCGUAGGGCUCUGAGAAUCAAUUUCUUCAUUAAUUUCUUCACACUUAGAGGUUUAGUCUUCAUUGAUUGAAGAAAAAACGUUACUUCGUGUGUUGCACAUCUAAGUCAUCAAGUCAGCAUAAGUGUUAGGAUGUGUGUCCAUUUCAGAGAACAUUCGAAGAUUCUAGGAUAUUUAGCUCACACCGCAACUUGCUAAAUCUCUUCUCAUCCAAGGGCUUAGUGAAGAUAUCGGCCAGCUGAUCUUCAGUGGUUGCAUGGUCGAUGGAGAUAUCGCCCUUCAACACAUGAUCACGAAGAAAAUGAUGACGAAUCUGGAUGUGCUUGGUCUUUGAGUGCUGAACUGGGUUACGAGCAAUCUUGAUAGCAUUCUUUACGUUAAUGCCAUAGUCCUUGAGUGUUUGCUUCAUCCAAAGCAAUUGAGCACAGCACGAUCCAGCAGCAAUGUACUCACCUUCUAUAGUUGAGAGUGAUACGCAGUUCUGUUUCUUCGAGGACCAACAGAACAAAGAACGUCCGAGGAAACGGCAUGUGCCUGACGUUGACUUGCGGUCCACGCGAUUGCCAGCAUAGUCAGAGUCUGAAUAUCCAAUGAGAUCAAAUGAAGAGCCCUUGGGAUACCAUAAUCCAAGUGUUGGUGUGUGAGCUAGAUAUCGAGGAAUAUGCUUCACAGCCUUAUGGUGUGAUUCCUUCGGUGUAGCUUGAAAUCGGGCACACAUGCAAACAGUAAGCAUAAUAUCCGGACUAGAUGCACAUAGGUACAAUAAAGAUCCAAUCAUGGAGCGGUAUAUCUUUUGAUCGAAGUCUUUACCAUUUUCAUCAGUGCAUAGAUGGCCAUUUGUGGGCAUUGGAAUUUUGACCCCUUUGCAAUCUUACAUGCCGAAUUUCCUCAAUACGUCCUUGAGGUAUUUCUCCUGAGAUAUAAAUAUCCCAUUGCGCUGUUGACGAAUUUGAAGACCUAAAAGGAAUUUCAACUCUCCCAUCAUAGACAUUUGAUAUUCUUCACUCAUCAUAUAGGCAAAUUCAUCACUAUAACGUUGAUCAGUACAGCCAAAGAUAAUAUCAUAAACAUAUAUUUGGCACACAAACAAUUCAUCAUCAUAAGACUUAGUGAAAAGAGUUGGGUCGAGUGAACCGGGUUUGAAGCCUUUCUUCAUGAGGAAUUCCUUCAAAGUAUCAUACCACGCCCGAGGGGCUUGCUUGAGGCCAUACAGAGCCUGGUUGAGUCUGAAGACUUUAUCAGGAUUCUUUGGAUCUUUAAAACCUGGGGGUUGAGCAACAUAUACCUCUUCCUCAAGCUUACCAUUGAGGAAAACACUUUUCACAUCCAUUUGAUAUAAGGUGAUAUUAUAAUGGUUAGCAUAAGCAAGUAAUAUGCGAAUAGCCUCGAGUCUAGCAACAGGUGCAAAAGUUUCAUCGAAAUCAAUUCCUUCAACCUGUGUAUCCUUUACAAGCCAUGCCUUAUUCCUCACCACAAGGCCAUUUUCAUCUUGCUUGUUGCGGUAGAUCCAAUUUGUGCCAAUAAUGUUGUGCUUGCGAGGAAUUGUACGUUUGACCAGUUCCCAGACAUUGUUGAGCUCAAACUGAUGUAAUUCUUUUUGCAUAGCUUGAAUCCACUCAGGCUCCAGAAAUGCUUCAUCUACCUUAGUGGGCUCUGUGAUAGAGACAAAAGCAAAGUGCCCACAAAAGUUAGAUAAAUGAGAAGAUUUUGAGCGUGUGAGAGGACAUGAUGCUUCAAUGUCAUCAAUGAUCUUCUCGAUUUGCACUUCGUUUGCAAUACGAGGAUGAGCGGGUUGUCUUCGAGGAAUUUGAUCCGCAUUCUCUUCAGGAGCAUUUUCCUCAGCACCGUUUUUUUCAGGUGCGCCAGCUCGACGUUUAUCAUGUUCUGGAAUGAAUUCUUCAGCAGAUUCUUCGGUGGGAAUGACAUCCUCAGUAGCCUUGAACUUGAUAGAUUUCUCAGGUGCUGGUUCGUCUAACACAGAAGGUAGGUGCUCUCUUUGCGAGCCAUCAAUCUCAUCGAACUGCACAUCUACAGUUUCAACAACUUUGUGAAGAACGCUGUUGAAGACUCUUUAGGUGUGCGAGUCCUUUCCAUAACCAAGCAUAAAACCCUCAUGUGCUUUCGGUGCAAAUUUAGAAUUGUGAUGAGGAUCUCUAAUCCAGCAUUUAGCACCAAAGACUUUGAAGUAACUCACAUGGGGUUUCUUGUCAGUGAGGAGUUCAUAGGCAGUCUUCUUGAAGAAUUUGUGAAGAUAUACCCUGUUGAUGAUGUGGCAUGCAAUAUCAAUGGCCUCAAUCCAGAAGCGACGAGGUGUCUUGUAUUCAUCAAGCAUAAUGCGAGCCAUUUCAACAAGGGUCCUGUUCCUGCGCUCCACGACGCCAUUUUGAUAAGGAGUAUAAGGAGCAGAUAACUCAUGAGUAAUACCAAGUUCAUCAAGAUAGCCAUCAAGACCGGAAUUCUUGAACUCGGUCCCAUUGUCACUUCUGAUGUGCUUGAUCUUCACACCAAAGUUGGUUGAAGCCCUCGAGGAAAAUAGUUUGAAGACUUCCUGCACCUCAUGUUUGUAAGUGACAAUGUGCACCCAUGUGUAACGAGAAUAAUCAUCAACAAUAGCAAAGCCAUAUAGAGAUGCAUCAUUUAGAAUUACAGAAUAAUGAUUGGGACCAAAAAGAUCGAUGUGAAGCAAUUCAAAUGGUCGAGUGGUAGUCAUGAUAGUCUUCACUAGAUGCUUGGCCUUAGUCAUCUUUCCUGCUUCACAGGCUCCGCAUAAGUGAUCCUUGAGGAAUUUGACAUUCUCAAUGCCAAUGACAUGCUUCUUCUUCGCAAGCGUGUGCAAAUUCCUCAUGCCAGCAGGACCAAGUCGUCGAUGCCAUAGCCAGCCUUCUGAGGCUUUUGCAAGUAAGCAUACAGCUGGUUGUGGUCCUAUAGAGAAAUCAAUGAUAUACAAGUCUCCUCUCCUAAAGCCUUCGAAGACUUUGGAAUGGUCAGCUUCCAUGAUCACAACACAAUGAUAUUUUCCAAAGACAACAACCAUAUCAAGAUCACAAAGCAUUGAGACAGACAUGAGAUUGUAUCCUAAGGAUUCGACAAGCAUGACUUUGUCCAUGUGUCUAUCCUUUGAGAUCGCAACCUUACCUAGACCCAAUACCUGACUUUUGCCUUUGUGAGCGAAGAUGAUAUGCUUAAUGCGACAGUGAUAAGGGAGCAUCCAUCAAUAGAUUCUUGUCACCAGUCAUGUGAUUCGUACAUCCACUAUCGAGGAUCCACUCAUUGGCUUUGGGUUGAUCAUCCUGCAGAUGAAUUAGUGCAACUUACGAACUCAUAUACUUCAUCAGUGAAGAAUAUGACAUCAAUACCAUCAGAUCAAUUUCAUCAAGCAAUAGCACAGAUAAAUCAGUAUUUGAGGACGUGAGAAAUGAAAAUUCAUUUCUUCAUGAUUAGCAUGCAUCCUUUCAGGCACUGUUCAGGUCUCCAGCAAAUUCUUCAUACGUUUUGAGCACGUCUGGAGACCUGACCCUGCAUAAAAGAUUAGUUCUUUUUCUUUACCACCCACAUCUGAAGGGGUGGCAAAGAAUUCAUCACUCUGCGAGCACCAUAUGAGAAAGGUGGCAUAGAAGCUAGUCCGCUUCGUUUCACAUGAGAGGGGUUAGGGUAAGCAUAUGAAUAAGUAGAGAAAUUCUUCGAGGGCUUAUGAACAUAAUGAUUUGAAGAAUAAUGCUCAUAUUCAUAGCCCUUAGCUCUACCCUGCGAAACAGAGGGGUUAGCACGAUGAUGAUCAUGUGAGGAUUUUGAUCCAGUUGAGGAAUUUGAUCCAUAUGAAGAAUUUGGUCCAUAUGAAGAAUUUGAUCUGGAGUUCCUAUUCUUCACAGGUGGUGUCAUGAAGACAUUCACCUGAAGACUUUCAAGGCAACUUUUGGGAACCCGGAUUUUCUUCAUAGGGGAAUCAUUCCUGCAGUUAGUGCCAACAUAUUUAGCAAAUAAUUCACCAUUCUGAUUUUGAAUAGUUUAUAGUUGGAGUCAAAUGACUCAUCAGAAGAAUGAGGAGAUUCACAUGUAAAGCCAGAUAAAUUGGAUGGAUCAACUGGAGGUCCCUUUGCAGCAACCUAUGAGGUUUUGGGGUACUGCUCAGGCUUCCAAUAUGUUCCAUCAGCAUUGAGUUUCCUCUCAAAGGCAAUACCCACUUUCCUAGGGUUCCUGUUGAGGAUCUGCUUUUUAAGCACAUCACAAAGAGUCUGAUGUCCUUUGAGGCUUUUGUACAUGCCCGUCAUGUACAAUUCCUUCAGCCCUGCAUCAUCAGUGAUACUAGCAAUAUCCUCAGAUGAGGAAUUAGUGAUAGCAAAGACAGAUGAAGAAUUUGUAGCAUUAUAAGAAUUUGAACAUUCAGGUGAAGAAUUAGCAAAUUCAUGUUCAAUGCACUUCAAACAUGGAGGAACAAAUUCUUCCUGAGUAGCGCUGAUUUGUUGAGCAAGUAAUGAAUCACGAUCCUUCUGAAGAUCUUCAUAACUCACUCUUAGCUUCUCAAGAUCUUGCUUUCUUUGAAGAAAUUCAUAAGAAAUCUUCUUUUGAUCAGAUAAGAGAGUGUUAUGAUGACCUUGAAGGUUGUCAAACUUGGACUGAAGUCUCUGAAGAUUUUCAGUCAAGGUUUUAGUGCGGUCCAUUUCUUCACCCAACAUAUCAUCACUUUUAUAUGGCAUGUUUUGAACCUUUUCAAAAGCCUUUUGUUGUUUCACAGCAAUCUUAGCAAGUUUAGAGUAGCUGGGCUUGAGAUUUUCAUCAGAUUCAUCCUCACUAGAUUCAGAGGAGGCGUAUUUAGUUACCUUGGCACCCUUUGUCAUGAAGCAAUAGGUGGGAGCGUAGUCAUCAUUGCCUUCACCAGCCUUGUUGGUGAAGCCAUUUUCUUUAGAGUUGAAGAUAGACUUGCUGACGAAUGCAGUAGCGAGAGCUAGGCUCACCACACCAAACUUGGACUCCUCAGAUGCCUCCUCAUCCUCAUGUUCCUCAGAUUCAGCCUCAGAGUCCAUUUCCUUGCCAAUGAAUGCCCGAGCCUUCUUAGAGCUGCUCUUCUUGUGAGAUGAAGACAUCGAGGAUUUUGAUGAUGAAGACUUUGAAGAUUUCUUCUUCUUCUUGGCAUCAUCAGAACUGUAAUCCUUGUAUUUCUUCUUCUUUAAUCCCUUAUCCACUGAGGACAAUCUUGAAUGUAGUGACCAGGUUUCUUGCAUUUGUGUCAUAGCCUCUUCUUGUAGUCAUUGGAUGAGGAAUCAUUACUCCUUGAGGAUUUUCCAAAGCGACCAUGUCUUGAGAACUUCUGAAAUUUCUUCAUGAGAAGUGCUAGUUCCUGGCUCAGUUCUUCAGGAUCACCAAGGCUGCUAGUAGAGUCCUCUUCUUCAGACUCAGAGACUGCCUUGGCCUUCAGAGCAUGUGGUUUGACAUAGCUCGAACCAUAGAGAUCUCUCUUCUCAGCAAGCUGGAACUCAUGAGUGUUUAGCCUUUCGAGGAUAUCAGCAGGAUCAAGUGACUUGUAAUCAGCAUGCUCUUGAAUCAUCAGUGCCAGAGUGUCAAAUGAAGAAUCGAGCGAUCUCAGCAAUUUCUUCACCACCUCAUGGUCGGUGAUGUCAGUGGCGCCAAGCUCUUGAAUCUCAUUUGAGAUAUCAGUGAGGCGAUCGAAGGUUUGCUGAACAUUUUCAUUGUCGAGUCUUUUGAAGCGGUUGAAGAGAUUGCGAAGAACGUCAACACGAGAGUCACGUUGAGUUGAGACUCCUUCAUUUACUUUGGAGAGCCUACCCCAGAUAGGCUUAGCAGUUUCCAAAGCACUCACUCUACCAUCUUGCCCUUUGCUCAGAUGGCCACAUAUGAUGUUCUUCACUUGAGAAUCGAGUUGCUUGAAUCUCUUCACAUCAGCAGCAUUCAGGGAAGGUGUGACUGAGGGAGCACCAUUUUCCACAACAUACCAGAGAUCGUUAUCAAUUGCCUCAAGAUGCAUUCACAUCUUAUUCUUCCAGUAGGGGUAGUCCGUUCCAUCGAAGGUAGGAUACCCAACAGAGACCUUGAUCAUACCUGCGGUCGACAUAACUAAAACUCCAGGCAGUUAAACCAAAAUCACACAGAACAAGGGAGUACUUUGCUCUGAUACCAAUUGAAAGUGUGUUAUAUCGACUAGAGGGGGGGGGGGUGAAUAGGCGAUUUUUAUGAAUUCUUCGAUGAUGAAUUUGCUGGUGAGGAAAUUCCUAAAUGAAGAACUACUUGUAGCGGAAUAAGUACUCAAAAUUAAACAUAGCAGAAUACACACAUAGUCAUCAUGAUGAAAUGAAGACCAACACAGAAUACAGAAAGCGUAAGCACAUGAUAACACAAGAUGAAGACUAAUAGACUGAAGAAAUUGAACUGAGGAUAUUGAGAAAGUCUUCAGACAAAGUUUUCAAACAGAUAUGAACAAGCACACAACAACAGUAAUGAGGAAAUGAAAGAGUUGAGGAAAUAGAACCAGUAAGCUUGGUAAAGACAAUGAUUUGGUAGACCAGUUCCAACUGCUGUCUCAGUUGUACAUCUGGUUGAAGCCGCUGAGUAUUUAAACUCGAGGACACACAGUCCCGGACACACAAUCCUCACCAUAUUCUCCUUGAGCUAAAGUCACACAGACCUCGCCCAAUCACUCGUGGUAAGUCUUCAGGUGACUUCCGGACCUUCACAAACUUGGUCACUCGGCGAUCCACAAUUCCUCUUGGAUGCUCUAGACCUUGACGCCUAACCGUCUGGAAGAAGCACAAUCUUCAAAGGUAACAAGCGUCGGAUCCACGCAGGAUCAAUAUCUUCAGUGAUGCUCAAUCACUUUGGGGUUUUGAAGAUUUGGGUUUGGGUUUUCCUCACUUGACGAUUUUCGCUCAAAGUCCUCAGAGGAUGGGAUGCUCUCAAAUGACAAGUGUCUGUUUCUCUCGGAGCAUCCAACCAACUAGUGGUAUUAGGGGGCGGCUAUUUAUAGCCUAGGGAGCAGACCGACAUGAUAAUACAUAAAUGCCCUUGUCUGAUAUGACCGUUAGGUGGGUAGAUAUUUUGGGAUAGUUGGCGCGUAGCACAACAACGGUCGGAAUUUUGAGUCUUAAAUUCCUCAGGGCUAUCAUGUUCCUCACUGUGUAGGCAAUCCGCACUGGCGAAUUCCUAACUCGUCAGUCAGAACAAAUUCCUCAGAGACCAGAAGAACUUCGUCUCUUUCACUGAAGAAUAUGACUGAACUGUAUGAGAUUUCUAAUGGCUUAACUCGAAGGGAUUGGUAGGUGUAGGAUUUUGAGUUGAGCAUCACAUGGAAAAUUUUCCUUAGUAUUUCCCCGACCCCCUUUAACAGUACGGUGUUUCCUAUGACUCAAGAAAGAGAAAAUAAAACUAUAAAAACAAAAGUCUUCAAGCUUCAUGUUCCUCAAAUGAUUGCCAAGUCUUCAAGGUCACACCAUUUUCUUCACUUUCAAAGUCUUAAGAAAGUCUUCAAAAAUCCAAAGUUUUCAGUUGAAGAACUUUAUUUUUAGCGGUCGACUUUCUCUGUAAAUAUCAAACUCCUCAUAGACUUAUAGACCUGUGUACACUCACAAACGCAUCAGUCCCUUAACCUAUAAGUCUUCAAUACACCAAAAUCACUAAGGGGCACUAGAUGCACUUACAGCUCCAGUUCCACGGUGCACAAUGUUUAGUACCACCUCGCCGAGCGAAGGGCAGCCGCACUGGUUUAUAAACCCAGCCGCGGCUGCUCCUUCAAGCUCCUCUCUAGUGCAGGCCUCUGGGCCUAACCUUGCCGCGCUGCCCUGUGAGCCUACUGGGCCUUAUGGGCCUGCAUAGCCCCGUCCAAGGCUGAGCAGGCCCACUGGGCAGCGCGGAAAUAAUUUUUUUAUUUUGUGGUUUAUAUAUUUUCUUCUAUUUAUUUCUGAGUAGUUUUUUGCUGUAUUUAGAGUUUCUUUGUGAAUAUUUUUGCUUUAGGUACAAAAAAUUUAAAUAGUUUAAAUUUGAAUUAUUUGAAAUUUGUGUGAAUCACUAGUUUUUGAAUAACUUAACUUUAAAAAUAGAUUUUUCAGAGUUUAUUUUGUAGUGCUUUUCAAUUUUACGGUCAUUUUGCUCUCAAAACAAAUCAGUAAAUGCAUCAAAAAUAGCAAAUUAUAUCAGAAAGGGUUGAAAGUUGAUGACGUGGAUUUGAAUUGUUCAUAUGAACGCAAAAAAGUUUGGAGUUGUAAUAAGUUAUUAAAAUAUUGAAUAGCCUGUGUAAUAGAUGAGUUUUCGUCCGAAACCCUGAUACUUCGAAAGAGAUUGUCCAGUUUGUACACGAAGUGCAUCCAGUUUUUGCCGUAACCCUCUCUACUUUUUUGCACAUGCCAUGCGGGUGAAAUGAUGAUACCUUGCCAAGUUUCAACCUUUUCAGAGUUCAUUUUGUAGUGCUUUUCAAUUUCACGGUCAUUUAGCUCUCUAAACUAAUCAGUAAAUGCAUCGAAAAUAGCAAAUUAUGUCAGAAAGGGUUGAAAGUUGAUGACGUGGAUUUGAAUUGUGCAUUUGAACACAAAAAAAGUCCGGAGUUGUAAUAAGUUAUUAAAAUAUUGAAUAACCGGUCUAACAGAUGAGUUUUCGUCCGAAACCUUGAUACUUCGAAAGAGAUUGUCCAGUUUGUACACAAAGUGCAUCCAGUUUUUGCCGUAACCCUCUCUACUUUUUUGCACAUUCUAUGCAGGUGAAAUGAUGAUACCUUGCCAAGUUUCAACCUUUUCAGAGUUCAUUUUGUAGUGUUUUUCAAUUUCACGGUCAUUAGCUCUCAAAACAAAUCACUAAAUGCAUCGAACAUAGCAAAUUAUGUCAGAAAGGGUUGAAAGUUGAUGACCUGGAUUUGAAUUGUGCAUCUGAACGCAAAAAAAGUCCGGAGUUGUAAUAAGUUAUUAAAAUUGUGUAAACAUGUAAAAAUAUACAUAAAAAUACAUUGAUCGGUACCUCCUUUCAACCAAAACGCGCUACUGCUACAGAGAAAUACAUCAAAAAUACAUUGAUUAUCAAUGAUCUUUUUGUGUACAAUCUGAAUUGUCAAUAUAAGUCCUCACCGGUUUAGAAACCGGAGAAGACUCAUAUUGUUGCCACAAAUUCUACACAUAGAGUUCAAUGAAGACCAAGUGGUUGUGAUAGUUUGAGAAGUAACAUAUUUAAGGUGGUAAAAACUCUGUUAGCGGAGCGAUGUGGGACUAAAAAACCGCUGCAGAAUGAAUCAACUAGAAACCUCCAGUACCGGUUUGUGGCACGAACCGGUAAUAAAGGUGCAGGUGGGGCCCCAGCCUGACCACAGCCUGCAAUAACCUCUUUAGUACCGGUUCAUGGCACGAACCGGUAUUAAAGGUUCGCCACUAACCGAUACUAAUGAUCUCCGCCCCCUAGCCGUUGGGACCGGCACUAAUGAUCAUAUUACUGCCGGUUUUGUUACAAACCAGGACUAAUGUGCUUCACAUUAGGCCCUUUUUCUACUAGUGGUGAAAUCACAGUGAUCAUGCCUUCUAUGUGAAAAAUAAAAAUAAGGCAAGGUCGGUUACUUUAAUAUGAGGCACAAGUCCGCCGAAUAUUCAGUUUCAUCGGGCUCUGAUUGUGGAUAAGUGGACUGCUUGGCUACAUUCGGUACAUUGUUCGAUGUCGAUCAACUGAUUUUGCAGGAAUCUAAUGUAUUCCUCUAGAAGUUGCAUUAUUGUGGUGUUCUCCAUAAAAUCCAUGCAUGCUGAUCUUAUCAACGCUGGGGUUGCUUUCCGCAUGAAGUAUACUUGGAAGAUUAGAGCACCCUUGAAGAUAAAAGGUUUUCAUACGCUAUCUUAACCAUGAGGUGAUCUUAACAAAUGAUAACUCGGCAAAGUGCAAAAUGGCAGGAAUGCAAACUAAAUGUUAUUUCUAAGACUUGAGGAAACGAUUCAUUGUCCUUCCUUCCAUGUUAGUUUAGUACUUUUAUUUGGCGUAACAAUACACAUAACUUUUAAUUUGCCCCAUCCCCUCCUCCACCCACUAGCAUUACAAAUUUGUUUUGACACUGGUUGGUCAGGGUUCACCCCAAAUUGAUGGCACAAAUCAAUCACCAUGUUGAUGGGUUAUUAUUGUCUUUAUUUCUUCCUAGCCCUUGUCUGGUGUAAAUGCAUAUAUAAACUACUAGCUCUCAUCCACAGUGGUUUCCAGUUAUCAACUAGCUAACCAGAAUAUCUCUUGUGCACCAUUGUUUAUUGUAGUGGUCAGUAGGCGGACUAAAGGAAGUUAUAUGUAUGGGUUGUUUAUCUCAGUUGAGUAAGCCGCUAUGGAUACAUCAUUCCUCAGUAGUCAGGAUAAUUUGCCUAAUUUUAUUCUAUUAAACCACACACCAUCACAAAAUAUUAGAUAUGGGAAGCAUUAGGAAUAUUUAAGCUUGUGGCUACAUAUGGAGCCACACUGCUUAGCAAGAACGGUGUGGACAAGAGAUUCUAGAAUCAAGCGUAUCAAAGUCGUGAUGUCUAAGACAUGCUACUGGCCUGACUUGGUGGAUGCACGACCCUGGCUUACUGAUGUGAGGGAGAGCACAUACUAUUUUCCCUUCUCUGCUACCAGAACAUUUGGAAGCGCCGGUAGCGUUUCUCAAGCAACGCCUUAACCUGUAGUUGUUUCUCCAGAUGUGUCAGGAGGAGGCAUGUGCCUAGCGCGUUCGCCUUCCCCCUGAGCAUGAAGAUCACGCUAAUGCCCGACUUUCUUCUCUUGCCUUUUUGCUAGGUUGCCACGUUGUUCUAGCAUCUUCGAACUGCUCACUGUAACCUACCUUCUGGUUUCCUCCUUUAAAUUUGUGACCAUUCUGUCCCUUCCAUAUUAAUCACUAACUGUGUGUGGUCUUUGGAAAAACUUCUUAGCUUGCUUGUUCUCUGCUGAAUCAGUUCAUCAAACUAUCGAGUCAACUCGUGGGACGAGUUGUCAGCUACUUUUAUGUUUUAGAUGAUUUUUCUUUCAAGAGAAGUUCUCCACAAAAUAUAUUGGUGUUUUAUGCUGUCUCAUAGUGCUAAGUAAAGGAUACCAAAAGGAUGUCUAGCUAGUUUUAGUUUCCUAUGUUUUCUUUGGCGAAUAGGUGCCUAUGUUAGUCUCAAGCAGUCCAGUACACUACCAAACUUGGCCAACAUCACUGCAUUUCACAACUUUGAGAAGACCCUGGUGAAAUGCAGCUGGUCACCCGACAAUCGCAAGGUCAAUGGCUCAAUGAUGGGACCUGGGAGUGCUGAUGGCAUGGUCUACAUCUGGGACACAACAUCGAGGCGGAUCCUGUACAAGCUUCCUGGGCACAAUGGUUCCGUCAAUGAGACCGCUUUCCACCCCACCGAGCCUAUCAUUGGAUCUUGUG
RNAcentral lists this long non-coding RNA (26440 nucleotides) under Triticum aestivum (bread wheat). RNAcentral describes it as "long non-coding RNA (TAES_LNC016950)". Lineage: Eukaryota; Viridiplantae; Streptophyta; Magnoliopsida; Poales; Poaceae. The record is from RNAcentral.